Molecule: long non-coding RNA, 219 nt
Filed under: Zostera marina
Lineage: Eukaryota; Viridiplantae; Streptophyta; Magnoliopsida; Alismatales; Zosteraceae
Description: long non-coding RNA (ZMAR_LNC004126)
Source: RNAcentral
AUGAGACCUGAUUGCACAAUGGGUAUUUCCCUUUUUUAUUAUUACUUCCAUACUCCUUAUCAUUUUCAAGAAAGAAAUCCUUGUAUGCUUCUGGUAUAUAGAUUACCCUACCUGUCCUUGUAGUUUUUAUUUCAAUUUCAAUUGGUCUUUUUGAACUUAUGUAGGGGGCAGCUUGAAUUUGUUCAAUUUCAUCUCCUGUAAUUUCAAGAAUGAUAUUUU